This 462-nucleotide ribosomal RNA is filed under the name uncultured Fusibacter sp. RNAcentral's name for it is "bacterial SSU rRNA". It matches the Rfam family "Bacterial small subunit ribosomal RNA", at positions 923 to 1382 of the family's 1533-position model. The record is from RNAcentral. Lineage: Bacteria; Bacillati; Bacillota; Clostridia; Eubacteriales; Fusibacteraceae.
CCACAAGCAGCGGAGCAUGUGGUUUAAUUCGAAGCAACGCGAAGAACCUUACCAGAUCUUGACAUCAAUUGACCAUCUUUUAAUCGAGAUUUUGCCUUCGGGUACAAUUGAGACAGGUGGUGCAUGGUUGUCGUCAGCUCGUGUCGUGAGAUGUUGGGUUAAGUCCCGCAACGAGCGCAACCCUUGUGUUUUAGUUGCAAACAGGUCAAGCUGUGCACUCUAGACAGACUGCCGUGGACAACACGGAGGAAGGUGGGGAUGACGUCAAAUCAUCAUGCCCCUUAUGAUCUGGGCUACACACGUGCUACAAUGGCCGGUACAACGGGCAGCGAAGGAGCGAUCCGGAGCGAAUCCUAAAAAGCCGGUCCCAGUUCGGAUUGCAGGCUGAAACUCGCCUACAUGAAGUUGGAGUUGCUAGUAAUCGCGAAUCAGAAUGUCGCGGUGAAUGCGUUCCCGGGUCUU